RNAcentral lists this ribosomal RNA (254 nucleotides) under uncultured bacterium. Its description in RNAcentral is "partial 16S ribosomal RNA". It matches the Rfam family "Bacterial small subunit ribosomal RNA", at positions 524 to 776 of the family's 1533-position model. The record is from RNAcentral.
UACAGAGGUGCCAAGCGUUAGGCGGAAUCACUGGGCUUAAAGCGCGUGUAGGUGGGUCGUUAAGGGUCCGCGUGAAAUCCCACGGCUCAACCGUGGAACUGCCGGGCAUACUGGCGAUCUUGAGGCAUUCAGGGGCGAGCGGAACAAGUGGUGGAGCGGUGAAAUGCGUAGAUAUCACUUGGAACGCCAAUGGUGAAAACAGCUCGCUGGGAAUGAUCUGACACUGAGACGCGAAAGCCAGGGGAGCGAACGGG